GAAGUGAGCAUCUAUCUACAACUAAUGUGAUGGAACAUGCUCCAGGCAAGUGAGCUCAUCUGUGGGAACCAAACCCCACAUCUGGACAAGAAAAACUAUCACUCGACACUCAUCAGUCAUAUCCUAAAGCUGGACAGAGAAAUGGGUUUAAACUGAAUGGGAAACGUGAAGUCAAGAAAACCCUUUAAAUUGUGACUGUGAGAACACAACAACAUGGCCAUGCUCAACAGGACAGUGUAAAACACUGGGAGACCGUGUCCUUAAGUCCUAAAACAAAGGAGUUGUAUCUACUUUGCACACCAUUUUGCCUUUUAACAUAAUGAAGAUUUCCAAGUAGCUUAAACCAUGACUCUUAGCUUUUUUGUUAAGUAAAGUGCCUAUUUUUUAAACAAUUUAAAAAAUUGAUUUUAUUUAUUUAUUUACUGUUUGUUUUUGGAGACAGGUUUCUUUAUUAUGUAGUUCUGGCUGUUAUGGAACUUGCUAUGUAGACAUGCCUGUCCCUGCCUCCCAAGUGCUGAGAUUAAAGGUGUAUACCACC
RNAcentral lists this long non-coding RNA (538 nucleotides) under Mus musculus (house mouse). Its description in RNAcentral is "long non-coding RNA chr2:94415801-94416339". Lineage: Eukaryota; Metazoa; Chordata; Mammalia; Rodentia; Muridae. The record is from RNAcentral.